RNAcentral lists this ribosomal RNA (484 nucleotides) under uncultured bacterium. Its description in RNAcentral is "partial 16S ribosomal RNA". It matches the Rfam family "Bacterial small subunit ribosomal RNA", at positions 30 to 507 of the family's 1533-position model. The record is from RNAcentral.
AUUGAACGCUAGCGGGAUGCUUUACACAUGCAAGUCGAACGGCAGCGCGGACUUCGGUCUGGCGGCGAGUGGCGAACGGGUGAGUAAUGUAUCGGAACGUGGCCAGUAGCGGGGGAUAACUACGCGAAAGCGUAGCUAAUACCGCAUACGCCCUACGGGGGAAAGCAGGGGAUCGUAAGACCUUGCACUAUUGGAGCGGCCGAUAUCGGAUUAGCUAGUUGGUGAGGUAACGGCUCACCAAGGCGACGAUCCGUAGCUGGUUUGAGAGGACGACCAGCCACACUGGGACUGAGACACGGCCCAGACUCCUACGGGAGGCAGCAGUGGGGAAUUUUGGACAAUGGGGGCAACCCUGAUCCAGCCAUCCCGCGUGUGCGAUGAAGGCCUUCGGGUUGUAAAGCACUUUUGGCAGGAAAGAAACGUCGCGGGCUAAUACCCCGUGGAACUGACGGUACCUGCAGAAUAAGCACCGGCUAACUACGUG